Molecule: ribosomal RNA, 482 nt
Filed under: uncultured bacterium
Lineage: Bacteria
Description: partial 16S ribosomal RNA
Rfam family: Bacterial small subunit ribosomal RNA
Source: RNAcentral
AUUGAACGCUGGCGGCAUGCCUUACACAUGCAAGUCGAACGGUAACAGGUCUUCGGAUGCUGACGAGUGGCGAACGGGUGCGUAAUACAUCGGAACGUGCCCGAUCGUGGGGGAUAACGGAGCGAAAGCUUUGCUAAUACCGCAUACGAUCUACGGAUGAAAGCAGGGGACCGCAAGGCCUUGCGCGGGCGGAGCGGCCGAUGGCAGAUUAGGUAGUUGGUGGGAUAAAAGCUUACCAAGCCGACGAUCUGUAGCUGGUCUGAGAGGACGACCAGCCACACUGGGACUGAGACACGGCCCAGACUCCUACGGGAGGCAGCAGUGGGGAAUUUUGGACAAUGGGCGAAAGCCUGAUCCAGCCAUGCCGCGUGCAGGAUGAAGGCCUUCGGGUUGUAAACUGCUUUUGUACGGAACGAAAAGACUCGUUCUAAUAAAGAGGGUCCAUGACGGUACCGUAAGAAUAAGCACCGGCUAACUACGUG